GCCUAGGUAACUCAGGGGGUAGAGUGCUUGCUUGGUAAGCAAGCAGUCGCGGGUUCAAAUCCCGCCCUAGGCU
This 73-nucleotide transfer RNA is filed under the name Candidatus Thorarchaeota archaeon. Its description in RNAcentral is "tRNA-Thr". It matches the Rfam family "tRNA". From Rfam's summary of the family: Transfer RNA (tRNA) molecules are approximately 80 nucleotides in length. Their secondary structure includes four short double-helical elements and three loops (D, anti-codon, and T loops). Lineage: Archaea; Promethearchaeati; Candidatus Thorarchaeota. The record is from RNAcentral. RNAcentral also lists the same sequence under 1 other name.